UACGGGGGGGGCAAGCGUUGUUCGGAAUUACUGGGCGUAAAGGGCUCGUAGGCGGCCAACUAAGUCAGACGUGAAAUCCCUCGGCUUAACCGGGGAACUGCGUCUGAUACUGGAUGGCUAGAGUGUGGGAGAGGGAUGCGGAAUUCCAGGUGUAGCGGUGAAAUGCGUAGAUAUCUGGAGGAACACCGGUGGCGAAGGCGGCAUCUGGACCACGACUGACGCUGAGUGAGCGAAAGCCAGGGGAGCAAACGGG
This 253-nucleotide ribosomal RNA is filed under the name uncultured bacterium. Its description in RNAcentral is "partial 16S ribosomal RNA". It matches the Rfam family "Bacterial small subunit ribosomal RNA", at positions 524 to 776 of the family's 1533-position model. The record is from RNAcentral.